RNAcentral lists this unclassified non-coding RNA (336 nucleotides) under soil metagenome. RNAcentral describes it as "partial contains 5.8S ribosomal RNA, internal transcribed spacer 2, and large subunit ribosomal RNA". The stretch from base 1 to 120 matches the Rfam family "5.8S ribosomal RNA", at positions 35 to 154 of the family's 154-position model. The record is from RNAcentral.
GAUGAAGAACGCAGCGAAAUGCGAUAAGUAGUGUGAAUUGCAGAAUUCAGUGAAUCAUCGAAUCUUUGAACGCACAUUGCGCCCCUUGGUAUUCCAUGGGGCAUGCCUGUUCGAGCGUCAUUUGUACCUUCAAGCCUUGCUUGGUGUUGGGUGUUUGUCUCGCCUCUGCGCGCAGACUCGCCUCAAAACAAUUGGCAGCCGGCGUAUUGAUUUCGGAGCGCAGUACAUCUCGCGCUUUGCACUCAGAACGACGACGUCCAAAAGUACAUUUUUACACUCUUGACCUCGGAUCAGGUAGGGAUACCCGCUGAACUUAAGCAUAUCAUAAGCGGAGGA